Molecule: ribosomal RNA, 684 nt
Filed under: uncultured bacterium
Lineage: Bacteria
Description: bacterial SSU rRNA
Rfam family: Bacterial small subunit ribosomal RNA
Source: RNAcentral
UAUUUAGCACUUGUGUUAAAUAAUUUAGUGGCGAACGGGUGAGUAACACGUAAGAACUUACCCCUAGACGAGGUACAACAGUUGGAAACGACUGCUAAUACCUCAUAUUACCGGAAGGUGAAAGAAGCAAUUCGUCUAGGGCGAGGCUUGCGUCUGAUUAGCUUGUUGGUGAGGUAAAGGCUUACCAAGGCGACGAUCAGUAGUUGGUCUUAGAGGAUGAUCAGCCACAUUGGGACUGAGACACGGCCCAAACUUUUACGGGAGGCAGCAGUAAGGAAUUUUCCGCAAUGGGCGCAAGCCUGACGGAGCAAUACCGCGUGAAGGAUGACGGCCCAUGGGUUGUAAACUUCUUUUCUUGGAGAAGAAUUCUGACGGUAUCCAAGGAAUAAGCAUCGGCUAACUCCGUGCCAGCAGCCGCGGUAAGACGGGGGAUGCAAGCGUUAUUCGGAAUUAUUGGGCGUAAAGCGUCUGUAGGUGGUAAGGAAAGUGUAAUGUUAAAGAUCAGGGCUCAACCCUGGGAAAGCAUUGCAAACUAUCUUACUUGAGUUCGGUAGGGGCAGAGAGAAUUCCCAGUGUAGCGGUGAAAUGCGUAGAUAUUGGGAGGAAGACCGGUGGCGAAGGCGUUCUGCUGGGCCGUAACUGACACUCAGAGACGAAAGCUAAGGUAGCAAAUAGGAUUAGAUA